Long non-coding RNA from Octopus sinensis (East Asian common octopus), 1046 nucleotides. RefSeq lists it as uncharacterized. The record is from RefSeq and is a predicted model, not a curated record. The transcript is spliced from 3 exons. NCBI's taxonomy places the organism in Eukaryota, Metazoa, Mollusca, Cephalopoda, Octopoda, Octopodidae.
UAUAUACUUUACGUCAUAUAUAUACAUGUAUACACACACGCGUGUAGGAUACUUUACUUUAUAAAUAUACACACAAUAUAAAAGAUAGCUAUAUAUAUAUAUAUAUGUAUGUGAUAUAUAUAUACUCUACAGAAAAAGAUAGGCUGUUUUAAUCAUUUUUCUACACAAUUGAAGGUAGCAUUAUCUAGUUCAAAUUUUACCUCUGCAGUCUAACACAGCUAAGCUAUUUAACUUUCAAACUAGUUGACAGGACUUGUUGACUCUCAUCUUAGCCUAAACAGCUCUUUUUGUGUGUGUCCCCCUCCGUUCUCCCUUUCUGCCCUUAAGUUUCUCGCUCCCAUUUCUUCAUCUGCCCCAUUAUCAUACAUAACAUAUAUAUAUAUUAUCCCUCUCACUGCAAAAACAGCUCCUUAAAACUAUUUUUUUUUCAAAGGUUUAGGUACUUACUGUACAACGCUUAACGAGAAUUCUGAAGACAAUUUAUUUGUUAUACGCUUUACCAAGAAGACAGACAGACAAGCAAACGUGGAAGAAACGGGAAAAUAUAUUUUAGCAAUUGUUUUGCCUUGAUUAAAACAAGUCAGAAAUCUCUAUAGAUGUAGACAGAAAAAUACAAAUAUAUAUAUUGUUUAGUUUCACGUCUCCGCUGUUUUUUUGUCACAAGUGGUUUAUUUUAAACUGCAAACACCAAGGAAAAUACGAGAGACUUUGUCGAAAAUAAUAAUUAUUAAUUAAACCACAAAAGAAAGUGUAUAUAUUAUUAUCAAAACCAAAAGUUACACCAGCAAGAAACUUUAAAAAACUAUAUAGACUUUCAUAUCGAUCUUUGCGUGUGUCUAUAUACAUAUAUUUUUUAAUAUACAUCAUACAUAUAUAGCGGGAAAAAAUCAUACGUAAAAAAGGACAUGGAAAUGGAAUUGUACCAAGUAGACUGUGUAAAAGAUGGAGAAGAUUUCUUCAGUUGCUCCCCAAGGAGUCUUCAAAGCAAGCGCGCAUGCCGUCCGAAACCUGCGCAUUUGCGUGACUUGUCAAAGAUGACGUUGGUG